UCUCAUGAUAUCGCCCAGCAACUACUCCACUGCUCUAGUCUCUGAAUUCCUCCUCAUCUGCUUCCCUAACUACCAGAGUUGGCAGCACUGGCUGUCCCUGCCCCUCAGCCUCCUCUUCCUCCUGGCCAUGGGGACCAGCCACCCUCUUGAUCACCAUCUGGCUGGAGGUCUCUCUGCACAAGCCCAUGGACCACCUGCUCAGCCUACUCUCCCUGUUGGAUAUUGUGCUCUGCCUGUCAUCCCUAAGGUCCUGGCCAUCUUCUGGUUUGAUCUCAGGUCCAUCAGCUUCUCAGCCUGCUUCCUCCAGAUGUUCAUCAUGAAUAGCUUCCUCCCCAUGGAGUCCUGCACAUUCAUGGUCAUGGCCUGUGACCGCUAUGUGGCCAUCUGCCACCCACUGCGAUACCCAUCCAUCAUCACUGACCAAUUUGUGGCCAAGGCUAACGUCUUCAUUGUCACCCAAAAUGCCAUUCUCACUGCACCUAUUCCUAUUCUCACUGCUCGACUCCAUUAUUGUGGGAAAAAUGUCAUUGAGAACUGCAUCUGUGCCAACUUGUCCAUGUCCAGGCUCUCCUGUGACAAUUUCACCCUUAACAGAAUCUACCAAUAUGUGGCUGGUUGGGCUUUACUGGGGUCAGAUUUCAUCCUCCUCUUCCUCUCUUACACCUUCAUCCUAAGAGCCGUGCUUAGGUUCAAGGCUGAGGGGGCUGCUGUCAAAGCCCUGAGCACAUGGCGGCUCCCACUUCAUCCUUAUCCUGUUCUUCAGCACCAUCCUGCUGGUUGUUGUGUUGACAAAUGUGGCCUGAAAGAGGGUCCCCAUGGACAUCCUCAUCUUGCUCAAUGUCCUUCAUCACCUCAUACCUCCUGCCUUGAACCCUAUUGUAUAUGGAUUUCGAACCAAAGAGUUAAAGCAGGGGUGUCAGAAGUUAUUGUGGAAGGGGCUUUGAAUA
RNA transcript from Odobenus rosmarus divergens (Pacific walrus), 947 nucleotides. It is a transcript of the gene named olfactory receptor 56A1-like, with no coding region annotated. The record is from RefSeq and is a predicted model, not a curated record. The transcript has a single exon. NCBI's taxonomy places the organism in Eukaryota, Metazoa, Chordata, Mammalia, Carnivora, Odobenidae.